RNAcentral lists this ribosomal RNA (253 nucleotides) under uncultured bacterium. RNAcentral's name for it is "partial 16S ribosomal RNA". It matches the Rfam family "Bacterial small subunit ribosomal RNA", at positions 524 to 776 of the family's 1533-position model. The record is from RNAcentral.
UACGUAGGGUGCGAGCGUUAAUCGGAAUUACUGGGCGUAAAGUGUGCGCAGGUGGCUUCGCAAGUCGAGUGUGAAAUCCCCGGGCUUAACCUGGGAAUUGCGCUCGAAACUACGGAGCUGGAGUAUGGCAGAGGGAGGUGGAAUUCCACGUGUAGCGGUGAAAUGCGUAGAGAUGUGGAGGAACACCAAUGGCGAAGGCAGCCUCCUGGGCCAAUACUGACACUCAUGCACGAAAGCGUGGGGAGCAAACGGG